GUAGUAGUGGGUGUAGCGUACCUACUAGCCUACGACGGGUACGGGUUGUGAGAGCAAGAGCCCGGAGAUGGAUUCUGAGACACGAAUCCAGGCCCUACGGGGUGCAGCAGGCGCGAAAACUUUACAAUGCCGGCAACGGCGAUAAGGGGACCUCGAGUGCCAGGUUACAAAUCUGGCUGUCGUGAUGCCUAAAAAGCAUUGCAUAGCAAGGGCCGGGCAAGACCGGUGCCAGCCGCCGCGGUAACACCGGCGGCUCGAGUGGUAACCGUUAUUAUUGGGCCUAAAGGGUCUGUAGCCGGCCGGAUAAGUCUCUUGAGAAAUCCAGCAGCUCAACUGUUGGGCUUUCAGGAGAUACUGUUCGGCUCGAGGCCGGGAGAGGUGAGAGGUACUUCAGGGGUAGGGGUGAAAUCUUGUAAUCCUUGAAGGACCACCAGUGGCGAAGGCGUCUCACCAGAACGGACCUGACGGCAAGGGACGAAAGCUAGGGGCACGAACCGGAUUAGAUACCCGGGUAGUCCUAGCCGUAAACGAUACUCGCUAGGUGUCGGCCACGGUGCGACCGUUGUCGGUGCCGUAGGGAAGCCGUGAAGCGAGC
Molecule: ribosomal RNA, 595 nt
Filed under: uncultured archaeon
Lineage: Archaea
Description: bacterial SSU rRNA
Rfam family: Archaeal small subunit ribosomal RNA
Source: RNAcentral